UGACGAGAAGACCCCGUCAAACUUUAAUUAUCAUAUAUAAAAGUGAAAAUAUAAAAUAUAAAUUAAUUUUAGUUGGGGCAACUGGGAGGGAUAAAAAUCUUUUAUUAAAUCAUUUAUAAUAAUAUUUAUAUUUAUGAUCCAAAUUAGUUAAUUUUGAACUUAGAAU
RNAcentral lists this ribosomal RNA (166 nucleotides) under Ledella ultima. RNAcentral's name for it is "partial 16S ribosomal RNA". Lineage: Eukaryota; Metazoa; Mollusca; Bivalvia; Nuculanida sp.; Nuculanidae. The record is from RNAcentral.